Ipomoea nil (Japanese morning glory) is the source of this 465-nucleotide long non-coding RNA. RefSeq lists it as uncharacterized. The transcript is spliced from 3 exons. The record is from RefSeq and is a predicted model, not a curated record. NCBI's taxonomy places the organism in Eukaryota, Viridiplantae, Streptophyta, Magnoliopsida, Solanales, Convolvulaceae.
UUCAAAGCCAUUUCUCAUUAGAAAAAUGAGGUUUCGAUUCAAACAGCCAUCGCUACUCUCCCGGUCAAGCCUCCUACCUCAGGCCGCGGCUUCUUCUUCUUCUUCAUCGCGCGCUACCUCUCAAUCUCCUCCGAUUCCUCAAAAGUUCUGUUCAGUAAACUACACACUAACAGACGCAUAAACAAGGAGUUUUUGUUUUCCUGAUUUACUCCUUUCGGAAGUUGAACUUGUCGGUUUUUUUUUUUCGAUGUUAGGUGUUCGUUUGGAAUAGCAUUUGAUAUAGAUGGAGUCAUUCUCCGUGGCCGGACUCCAUUUGGAAACUCUCCCCAAGCUCUCCGGAGAUUGUACCACGAUUCCGGCAACCUGGAGAUUCCCUUUUUGUUUUUGACAAAUGGAGGUGGCACCCCAGAGUCCAGAAGAGCCGCUGAGUUGAGUGAACUUCUUGGAGUGAAAAUAUUACCUUCU